GUCAGCAGCCAUAUCACCCUGCAGCCCAAGACUGGUUGCCCACUGAAGCUAAGCAGGAUUGAGCCUGGUCAGUACAUGGAUGGGAGACCUCCUGGGAAAACUAGGUUGCUGCUGGAA
RNAcentral lists this ribosomal RNA (117 nucleotides) under Sinocyclocheilus grahami. The record is from RNAcentral. Lineage: Eukaryota; Metazoa; Chordata; Actinopteri; Cypriniformes; Cyprinidae.